UUGAUCCUGGCUCAGGACGAACGCUGGCGGCGUGCCUAAUGCAUGCAAGUCGAACGCGGCCACCUUCGGGUGGCUGAGUGGCGCACGGCUGAGGAACACGUAGGUAACUUGCCCCGGUGUGGGGGACAACGGCCCGAAAGGGUCGCUAAUCCCGCAUACGCUCGAUACGAGGAAAGGCUUCGGUCGCACUGGGAGGGGCCUGCGGCCCAUCAGGUUGUUGGUGUGGUAAAAGCGCACCAAGCCGAUGACGGGUACCUGGUCUGAGAGGACGACCAGGCAGACUGGGACUGAGACACGGCCCAGACUCCUACGGGAGGCAGCAGCAAGGAAUUUUCCGCAAUGGGCGCAAGCCUGACGGAGCAACGCCGCGUGCCGGAUGACGGCCUUCGGGUUGUAAACGGCUUUUGCCGGGGACGAAGAGGACGGUACCCGGCGAAUAAGCCCCGGCUAACUCCGUGCCAGCAGCCGCGGUAAUACGGAGGGGGCAAGCGUUGUCCGGACUCACUGGGCGUAAAGCGUGCGUAGGCGGUGCGGUGCGUCGGCGCUGAAAGCGCCCCGCUUAACGGGGCGAGGUGCGGCGAUACGACCGGACUGGAGGGUGUCAGAGGUUGGUAGAAUUCCGGGUGUAGUGGUGAAAUGCGUAGAGAUCCGGAGGAAUGUCGGUGGCGAAAGCGGCCAACUGGGACACGCCUGACGCUGAGGCACGAAAGCGUGGGGAGCGAACCGGAUUAGAUACCCGGGUAGUCCACGCUGUAAACGAUGUCGGCUCGGUGGCUGGGUAUGCCUGAACAUACUUGGCUACCUCAGCUCACGCGGUAAGCCGACCGCCUGGGGACUACGAGCGCAAGCUUAAAGCUCAAAGGACUUGACGGGGGCCCGCACAAGCAGCGGAGCGUGUGGUUU
This 903-nucleotide ribosomal RNA is filed under the name uncultured organism. Its description in RNAcentral is "bacterial SSU rRNA". It matches the Rfam family "Bacterial small subunit ribosomal RNA", at positions 13 to 947 of the family's 1533-position model. The record is from RNAcentral.